UGGGGGAUAUUGCACAAUGGGCGAAAGCCUGAUGCAGCGACGCCGCGUGGGGGAUGAAGGCUUUCGGGUUGUAAACCUCUUUCGCUAUCGAACAAGGCCCGCUUAGGGUGGGUUGAGGGUAGGUGGAGAAGAAGCGCCGGCUAACUACGUGCCAGCAGCCGCGGUAAUACGUAGGGCGCGAGCGUUGUCCGGAAUUAUUGGGCGUAAAGGGCUUGUAGGCGGCUUGUUGCGCCUGCUGUGAAAACGCGGGGCUUAACUUCGCGCGUGCAGUGGGUACGGGCAGGCUUGAGUGUGGUAGGGGUGACUGGAAUUCCAGGUGUAGCGGUGGAAUGCGCAGAUAUCUGGAGGGAAAGCGAUGGAGAAGGCAGGUCACUGGGCCAUUACUGACGCUGAGGAGCGAAAGCAUGGGUAGCGAACAGG
This 420-nucleotide ribosomal RNA is filed under the name bacterium. RNAcentral's name for it is "partial 16S ribosomal RNA". It matches the Rfam family "Bacterial small subunit ribosomal RNA", at positions 355 to 776 of the family's 1533-position model. The record is from RNAcentral.